This 1722-nucleotide long non-coding RNA is filed under the name Pan troglodytes (chimpanzee). RNAcentral's name for it is "lincRNA". Lineage: Eukaryota; Metazoa; Chordata; Mammalia; Primates; Hominidae. The record is from RNAcentral.
GCAGACUUUUAGAAGAACUAACUUCAAAAAAGAUUCCCUAUAUAAUGAGUCAUUUUAAACUGAAAUGAUCAAGACCUCCUAGGGAUUCUAGGUCAUGCCUAAACCAUCACGGUCAAGUUGGACAUGUAUAGAGACCUGGUACUCUCACUCUUCCACCUUCGGCCCCACUUAUAUCCCAGGUUGGGCAUUGAAGUUCCCUGUCAGUCAGUUGGACGGGGGUACAGGACAGGCCCCUUUAAACGCAGAACUCCCUCAAUACUGCAGAACACUGGAAGAGCUCUUGUUCAAGUGGGUAAGUGCAGCCUGAGUGUCUGGUGAGAUCAAACCUGAAGAGAGAGUGAGAUAAGGAGAGAGUUGAGUCAUUAGUCAUCUCUUUUAACUAACUCUCUGAAGUUGGCUGGCUUCACACUAGACCUAGUGAUUAAUGGUAAAGAGAUAGCUCUUGCAAUUCAACUUCUGUAAGUACAAAGAAAUUUAAAGCUUCCCCUGAGCAUUCGCUUCCUCUUCGAAUGCUUCAAAACAAAUCUCAGCAUUAGUAGGCUGAUGCCAGUUCUAUCAUACCCCACAGGCCUUGAUGAGGGAGACGGAGAGAGCCAGGUGUGCCCUAUUGAACAGGCCCCAAUGGUUCUCUGCCUUUUCAUAGCAAUCUCCUAAAGGGAGAACCAGAGUCAUCAAAUCUCAGGACAAAAUGGCAGCCCUAAGAGGGCAAUCCACUGUCAGAAAGCAUGCAUAAGCUAUUAUUCUGAAGAGAAGAAGAUUAUUUCCAUUCACUAUAGGGCUAGUCUGAAGUUUGCAAAGAAGUCCUUUUCAUUCAAUUAUCCCUUGAAGGAAAGUAUGUAUGUAAAAGUUAAGAAAAUUCAAUAUCAAAAAUAGUUUUUGUUUUGGCUUUGAAAUUUUUCUUAAUAUGUAAGCAAAAUUCUUAGUUCUGGAGUUGCAGUUACUCAGUUAUCAAAAAUGAUACAGAUAAGAUAACAAACCCCAUUAACCACCCAGUUGCUCAAACAGAAAUCUAGGAUUCAUGUUAAUUCCUUUCUUCUUUCACCCCUCACACCCAAUCCAUUUGUUUCAUUAGUUCUCCCUUCACAAUACCUUAAUUCAUCCACUUUCUCCAUUCUCAUGGCACCAUUCUAAUAUAAAUCAUGUCUCACCUGAAUUGUUAUCAUAACCUCUUAAACAGAACUAACUCUUGCUUCCAUAGUCUAUUUCAUGGCAGCCAGAGAUUUUUAAAACCCCCAUAAGAUCUGGCCAGCAUGGUGGCUCAUGCCUGUAAUCCCAGCACUUUGGGAGGCUGAGGCGGGUGGACUGCCUGAGGUUAGGAGUUCGAGACCAGCCUGGCCAACAUAGUGAAACCCUGUCUCUACUAAAAACACAAAAAAUUAGCUGGGCGUGGUGACUGGCACCUGUAAUCCCAGCUACUAGGGAGGCUGAGGCAGGAGAAUUGCUUGAACCUGGGAGGCGGAGGUUGCAGUGAGCUGAGAUCGCUCCAUUGCUCUCCAGCCUGGCCAACAAGAGUGAAACUCUGUCUGAAAAACAAAAAACAAAAAAAUUGGCCAGGCGUGGUGAUGCAUGCCUGUAAUUCCAGCUACUAGGGAGGCUGAAGCAGGAGAAUUGCUUGAACCCAGGAGGUGGAGGUUGCAGUGAGCCGAGAUGGUGCCACUGCACUCCAGCCUGGGUGACAGAGCAAGGCUCUGUCUCAAAAAAAAAAAAAAAAAAAAAAAAAAA